Molecule: ribosomal RNA, 207 nt
Filed under: uncultured bacterium
Lineage: Bacteria
Description: partial 16S ribosomal RNA
Rfam family: Bacterial small subunit ribosomal RNA
Source: RNAcentral
CAUGUAGGCGGUUGGGUAAGUCAGAUGUGAAAUCCUUUUGCUCAACAAAAGAAGUGCAUCUGAAACUACCCGACUUGAGUACGAGAGAGGAGAGUAGAAUUCCCAGUGUAGAGGUGAAAUUCGUAGAUAUUGGGAGGAAAACCCGUGGCGAAGGCGACUCUCUGGAUCGAUACUGACGCUGAGAUGCGAAAGCGUGGGGAGCAAACA